Molecule: non-coding RNA, 28 nt
Filed under: Mus musculus (house mouse)
Lineage: Eukaryota; Metazoa; Chordata; Mammalia; Rodentia; Muridae
Source: RNAcentral
UAGGAAAAAGAGAGGCUUGUGGGUCUUC